Molecule: transfer RNA, 100 nt
Filed under: Heterobasidion irregulare TC 32-1
Lineage: Eukaryota; Fungi; Basidiomycota; Agaricomycetes; Russulales; Bondarzewiaceae
Rfam family: tRNA
About the family: Transfer RNA (tRNA) molecules are approximately 80 nucleotides in length. Their secondary structure includes four short double-helical elements and three loops (D, anti-codon, and T loops).
Source: Rfam by way of RNAcentral
GACUCCUUAGCUCAGUGGUAGAGCGUGUGAUUCCAGUGAUCCAGAAAUCUGAUGAUUGCGUAAUUCCACAAGGUCAACGGUUCAAUCCCGUUAGGAGUCA